Molecule: ribosomal RNA, 610 nt
Filed under: uncultured bacterium
Lineage: Bacteria
Description: bacterial SSU rRNA
Rfam family: Bacterial small subunit ribosomal RNA
Source: RNAcentral
CCUACGGGAGGCAGCAGUAAGGAAUAUUGGUCAAUGGAGGCAACUCUGAACCAGCCAUGCCGCGUGCAGGAUGAAGGCCCUAUGGGUCGUAAACUGCUUUUAUACCGGAGAAAACCACCGUACGUGUACGGUGUUGAUAGUAUGGUAAGAAUAAGCAUCGGCUAACUUCGUGCCAGCAGCCGCGGUAAGACGAAGGAUGCAAGCGUUAUCCGGAUUCAUUGGGUUUAAAGGGUGCGUAGGCGGACCUGUAAGUCAGUGGUGAAAUCUCUUUGCUUAACAAAGAAACUGCCAUUGAUACUGCAAGUCUAGAGUAUAGAUGACGUUGGCGGAAUAUGACAUGUAGUGGUGAAAUACUUAGAUAUGUCAUAGAACACCGAUUGCGAAGGCAGCUAACGAAACUAUAACUGACGCUGAGGCACGAAAGUGCGGGGAUCAAACAGGAUUAGAUACCCUGGUAGUCCGCACCGUAAACGAUGAUUACUCGUUGUUGGCAAUAUGACCGUCAGCGACCAAGCGAAAGCGAUAAGUAAUCCACCUGGGGAGUACGCCGGCAACGGUGAAACUUAAAGGAAUUGACCGGNNGAGAGNGCGAGCGACGACGAGGGAGAGG